RNAcentral lists this transfer RNA (75 nucleotides) under Syntrophobacteraceae bacterium. Its description in RNAcentral is "tRNA-Glu". It matches the Rfam family "tRNA". From Rfam's summary of the family: Transfer RNA (tRNA) molecules are approximately 80 nucleotides in length. Their secondary structure includes four short double-helical elements and three loops (D, anti-codon, and T loops). The record is from RNAcentral. Lineage: Bacteria; Pseudomonadati; Thermodesulfobacteriota; Syntrophobacteria; Syntrophobacterales; Syntrophobacteraceae.
GGCCCUGUCGAAUACUGGCUAGUUCGCCAGCCUCUCACGCUGGAAAACCGGGAUCGAUACCCGGCAGGGUCACCA